This 253-nucleotide ribosomal RNA is filed under the name uncultured bacterium. RNAcentral's name for it is "partial 16S ribosomal RNA". It matches the Rfam family "Bacterial small subunit ribosomal RNA", at positions 524 to 776 of the family's 1533-position model. The record is from RNAcentral.
UACGUAGGGUGCGAGCGUUAAUCGGAAUUACUGGGCGUAAAGCGUGCGCAGGCGGUUUUGUAAGACGGAUGUGAAAUCCCCGGGCUUAACCUGGGAAUGGCAUUCGGGACUGCAAGGCUGGAGUGCGGCAGAGGAGACUGGAAUUCCUGGUGUAGCAGUGAAAUGCGUAGAUAUCAGGAGGAACACCGAUGGCGAAGGCAGCCCCCUGGGCUAACACUGACGCUCAGGCACGAAAGCGUGGGGAGCAAACAGG